CAGCAGCCGCGGGAAUACGAAGGGGGCUAGCGUUGUUCGGAAUUACUGGGCGUAAAGCGCACGCAGGCGGCUCGAUAAAUUAGAAGUGAAAGCCUUGGGCUUAACCUGAGAAUUGCUUUUAAGACUGUCGAGCUAGAAUCCAGAAGAGGGUAGUGGAAUUCCGAGUGUAGAGGUGAAAUUCGUAGAUAUUCGGAAGAACACCAGUGGCGAAGGCGACUACCUGGUCUGGCAUUGACGCUCAUGUGCGAAAGCGUGGGGAGCAAACAGGAUUAGAUACCCCAGUAGUCCCUGUCUCUUAUAC
RNAcentral lists this ribosomal RNA (301 nucleotides) under uncultured bacterium. RNAcentral describes it as "partial 16S ribosomal RNA". It matches the Rfam family "Bacterial small subunit ribosomal RNA", at positions 509 to 807 of the family's 1533-position model. The record is from RNAcentral.